AGGCAGCAGUGGGGAAUAUUGCACAAUGGGGGAAACCCUGAUGCAGCCAUGCCGCGUGUGUGAAGAAGGCCUUCGGGUUGUAAAGCACUUUCAGCGAGGAGGAAAGGUUGGCGCCUAAUACGUGUCAACUGUGACGUUACUCGCAAAAGAAGCACCGGCUAACUCCGUGCCAGCAGCCGCGGUAAUGA
Molecule: ribosomal RNA, 188 nt
Filed under: uncultured bacterium
Lineage: Bacteria
Description: partial 16S ribosomal RNA
Rfam family: Bacterial small subunit ribosomal RNA
Source: RNAcentral